GAUGAACGCUGGCGGCGUGCCUAAUACAUGCAAGUCCAGCGAACAGACGAGGAGCUUGCUCCUCUGACGUUAGCGGCGGACGGGUGAGUAACACGUGGAUAACCUACCUAUAAGACUGGGUUAACUUCGGGAAACCGGAGCUAAUACCGGAUAAUAUAUUGAACCGCAUGGUUCAAUAGUGAAAGACGGUUUUGCUGUCACUUAUAGAUGGAUCCGCGCCGCAUUAGCUAGUUGGUAAGGUAACGGCUUACCAAGGCAACGAUGCGUAGCCGACCUGAGAGGGUGAUCGGCCACACUGGAACUGAGACACGGUCCAGACUCCUACGGGAGGCAGCAGUAGGGAAUCUUCCGCAAUGGGCGAAAGCCUGACGGAGCAACGCCGCGUGAGUGAUGAAGGUCUUCGGAUCGUAAAACUCUGUUAUUAGGGAAGAACAAAUGUGUAAGUAACUAUGCACGUCUUGACGGUACCUAAUCAGAAAGCCACGGCUAACUACGUG
Molecule: ribosomal RNA, 497 nt
Filed under: uncultured bacterium
Lineage: Bacteria
Description: partial 16S ribosomal RNA
Rfam family: Bacterial small subunit ribosomal RNA
Source: RNAcentral